Molecule: non-coding RNA, 194 nt
Filed under: Candidatus Epulonipiscium sp.
Lineage: Bacteria; Bacillati; Bacillota; Clostridia; Lachnospirales; Lachnospiraceae
Description: 6S RNA
Rfam family: 6S / SsrS RNA
About the family: E. coli 6S RNA was the first non coding RNA to be sequenced, but its function was unknown until recently.
Source: RNAcentral
GCAUUCCUGGGGUGUACGACAUUCUUGUUAUUUUGAACCUACAACUACGAUCUGGGAGCCUUAAUAAUAAAAGCAUUAAUGCCAGGCCACAAGAUAAUUCCCUUUGGGCAGUGGAAGGCAACGAUAUUUUUGCAGGCACCCCCCUGGCUUGAGCUAGGGCGUCAAAAUGCAAGAACCGGCAUUUCGGGGUAUAA